AACGAACGCUGGCGGCAUGCCUAACACAUGCAAGUCGAACGAGACCUUCGGGUCUAGUGGCGCACGGGUGCGUAACGCGUUGGAACCUGCCCUUAGGUUCGGAAUAACUCCCCGAAAGGGGUGCUAAUACCUGAUAAUGUCUUCGGACCAAAGAUUUAUCGCCUUUGGAUGGGCCCGCGUUUGAUUCGCUAGUUGGUAGGGUAAAAGCCUACCAAGGCGACGAUCCAUAGCUGGUCUGAGAGGAUGAUCAGCCACACUGGGACUGAGACACGGCCCAGAAUACUACGGGAGGAAGAAGUGGGGAAUAUUGAACAAUAGGAGGAAGAAUGAUCCAGCAAUGCCGCGUAAGUGAUGAAGGCAUUAGAGAAAUAAAGCUCGUUUAACCGGGAAGAUAAUGACAGUACCGGGAGAAUAAGCGCCGGCUAACUCCGUG
Molecule: ribosomal RNA, 433 nt
Filed under: uncultured bacterium
Lineage: Bacteria
Description: partial 16S ribosomal RNA
Rfam family: Bacterial small subunit ribosomal RNA
Source: RNAcentral